CCUACGGGUGACAGCAGUAGGGAAUCUUCCACAAUGGGCGAAAGCCUGAUGCAGCAACGCCGCGUGGGUGAAGAAGGUCUUCGGAUCGUAAAACCCUGUUGUUAGAGAAGAAAGUGCGUGAGAGUAACUGUUCACGUUUCGACGGUAUCUAACCAGAAAGCCACGGCUAACUACGUGCCAGCAGCCGCGGUAAUACGUAGGGGGCAAGCGUUAUCCGGAUUUAUUGGGCGUAAAGGGAACGCAGGCGGUCUUUUAAGUCUGAUGUGAAAGCCUUCGGCUUAACCGGAGUAGUGCAUUGGAAACUGGGAGACUUGAGUGCAGAAGAGGAGAGUGGAACUCCAUGUGUAGCGGUGAAAUGCGUAGAUAUAUGGAAGAACACCAGUGGCGAAAGCGGCUCUCUGGUCUGUAACUGACGCUGAGGUUCGAAAGCGUGGGUAGCAAACAGGAUUAGAUACCCCAGUAGUC
RNAcentral lists this ribosomal RNA (465 nucleotides) under uncultured bacterium. RNAcentral describes it as "partial 16S ribosomal RNA". It matches the Rfam family "Bacterial small subunit ribosomal RNA", at positions 338 to 795 of the family's 1533-position model. The record is from RNAcentral.